Molecule: ribosomal RNA, 492 nt
Filed under: uncultured bacterium
Lineage: Bacteria
Description: partial 16S ribosomal RNA
Rfam family: Bacterial small subunit ribosomal RNA
Source: RNAcentral
AGUGAACGCUGGCGGUAGGCCUAACACAUGCAAGUCGAACGGCAGCACAGUAAGAGCUUGCUCUUACGGGUGGCGAGUGGCGGACGGGUGAGGAAUACAUCGGAAUCUACUUUUUCGUGGGGGAUAACGUAGGGAAACUUACGCUAAUACCGCAUACGACCUACGGGUGAAAGCAGGGGAUCUUCGGACCUUGCGCGAUUGAAUGAGCCGAUGUCGGAUUAGCUAGUUGGCGGGGUAAAGGCCCACCAAGGCGACGAUCCGUAGCUGGUCUGAGAGGAUGGUCAGCCACACUGGAACUGAGACACGGUCCAGACUCCUACGGGAGGCAGCAGUGGGGAAUAUUGGACAAUGGGCGCAAGCCUGGUCCAGCCAUACCGCGUGGGUGAAGAAGACCUUCGGGUUGUAAAGCCCUUUUGUUGGGAAAGAAAAGCAGCAGGUUAAUACCCCGCUGUUCUGACGGUACCCAAAGAAUAAGCACCGGCUAACUUCGUG